RNAcentral lists this ribosomal RNA (253 nucleotides) under uncultured bacterium. RNAcentral's name for it is "partial 16S ribosomal RNA". It matches the Rfam family "Bacterial small subunit ribosomal RNA", at positions 524 to 776 of the family's 1533-position model. The record is from RNAcentral.
UACGUAGGGUGCGAGCGUUGUUCGGAAUCACUGGGCGUAAAGCGCGUGUAGGCGGCCCACUAAGUCUGAUGUGAAAGCCCGAGGCUCACCCUCGGAAGUGCAUUGGAAACUGGUGGACUCGAGUCCCGGAGAGGAGAGUGGAAUUCCUGGUGUAGCGGUGAAAUGCGUAGAUAUCAGGAGGAACACCGGUGGCGAAGGCGGGUCUCUGGGCCGAUACUGACGCUGAGGAGCGAAAGCGUGGGGAGCGAACAGG